Long non-coding RNA from Rhodamnia argentea, 740 nucleotides. RefSeq lists it as uncharacterized. The transcript has 3 exons. NCBI's taxonomy places the organism in Eukaryota, Viridiplantae, Streptophyta, Magnoliopsida, Myrtales, Myrtaceae. The record is from RefSeq and is a predicted model, not a curated record.
GUCAAAUGAUUAGAUAUAUCUGGCCGAGCUGCUUUUGGAGCUUCCAAGAGAGCAACUCCUGAAUUGGAUUUUUCAAUGCUUGGCAGAAGUAUAUGCUUCAUUACCGUCUCUGAUAAAAUACUAGAUAUACAGACACAAUAUGUCAACUGUUCUCGCUCCAGCCUUUGACUGCCAAACUCUAUAAUGCAAAUUAAGAUGGCUUAUAUGCAUCAGCGGCUUCACCAAAAUUAAGGCCAGUUGGCUCUACGUGGUUGUGGUGUGUGCCUGGGGUGAUCCCACACAAGGAAGGCUAGAUGACUUUCCAGGAACUAACAUGAAGUUGGUCUAAAUGCGUGCAGACAGUUUAAGGGCAUGGAGGUGGCAACAUUGGGAGGUAGGCUCAAUGGAGUGCCUGGUUAUGAACAUUACUGCAGUAUAUAUACUUUCAACAAACAGAUUCACGACCCAGUAGAUCUACGCAGUGCUGUUGCUGAAUUAUGGGUGAAGGGGGGCAUAGUGUAAAGGUACUUUCUGAUAUCUGUACAUGUAUUAUUGGAUUCUCUGAUGUGUAGUUACGAUGGCCAUGGGUGGCUUGUUUUAGUUUUUGGUGACUAGGUUAGCUCCAUCAUUUUUUUUCCUUGAAAUCAAGUGUUAGAGUAAGCUGUUUGUUCUUAAGAAUUGGGCGGUUGAAGAACGGUGAAUUGUGGAAAGUUGUAGAAACUGACGUUACAUGAUGUCAAUCAGAAUCGCAUUUUCUGGCA